This 73-nucleotide transfer RNA is filed under the name Heterocephalus glaber (naked mole-rat). It matches the Rfam family "tRNA". Rfam says of the family: Transfer RNA (tRNA) molecules are approximately 80 nucleotides in length. Their secondary structure includes four short double-helical elements and three loops (D, anti-codon, and T loops). Further hydrogen bonds mediate the characteristic L-shaped molecular structure. tRNAs have two regions of fundamental functional importance: the anti-codon, which is responsible for specific mRNA codon recognition, and the 3' end, to which the tRNAs corresponding amino acid is attached (by aminoacyl-tRNA synthetases). tRNAs cope with the degeneracy of the genetic code in two manners: having more than one tRNA (with a specific anti-codon) for a particular amino acid; and 'wobble' base-pairing, i.e. permitting non-standard base-pairing at the 3rd anti-codon position. The record is from Rfam by way of RNAcentral. Lineage: Eukaryota; Metazoa; Chordata; Mammalia; Rodentia; Bathyergidae.
GGGGAUUUAGCUCAGUGGUUCCACUGCCUGCCUUGCAAGCACAAGGUCCUGAGUUCGAUCCUCAGUAUCCCUU